UACGUAGGUGACAAGCGUUGUCCGGAUUUACUGGGCGUAAAGGGCGCGUAGGCGGCCUGAUAAGUAGGGGGUGAAAUCCUGUGGCUCAACUGCAGGGCUGCCUCCUAGACUGUCGGGCUUGAGCACGGUAGAGGCAGAUGGAAUUCCUGGUGUAGCGGUGAAAUGCGCAGAUAUCAGGAGGAACACCGGUGGCGAAGGCGGUUCUCUGGGCAUGACCUGACGCUGAGGCACGAAGGUCAGGGGAGCAAACGGG
RNAcentral lists this ribosomal RNA (253 nucleotides) under uncultured bacterium. RNAcentral describes it as "partial 16S ribosomal RNA". It matches the Rfam family "Bacterial small subunit ribosomal RNA", at positions 524 to 776 of the family's 1533-position model. The record is from RNAcentral.